RNAcentral lists this transfer RNA (66 nucleotides) under Apomecyna saltator. RNAcentral describes it as "tRNA-Phe". Lineage: Eukaryota; Metazoa; Arthropoda; Insecta; Coleoptera; Cerambycidae. The record is from RNAcentral.
ACUUAAAUAGCUUAUAAAUUAGAGCAUGAUAUUGAAGAUAUCAAGGAAAUAUUAUUAUUUUUAAGU